This 468-nucleotide ribosomal RNA is filed under the name uncultured bacterium. RNAcentral describes it as "partial 16S ribosomal RNA". It matches the Rfam family "Bacterial small subunit ribosomal RNA", at positions 28 to 507 of the family's 1533-position model. The record is from RNAcentral.
GACGAACGCUGGCGGCGUGCUUAACACAUGCAAGUCGAACGGAAAGACCCUGCUUUUGUGGGGUGCUCGAGUGGCGAACGGUUGAGUAACACGUGAGUAACCUGCCCUUGACUUUGGGAUAACUUCAGGAAACUGGGGCUAAUACCGGAUAGGAGCUCCUGCUGCAUGGUGGGGGUUGGAAAGUUUCGGCGGUUGGGGAUGGACUCGCGGCUUAUCAGCUUGUUGGUGGGGUAGUGGCUUACCAAGGCUUUGACGGGUAGCCGGCCUGAGAGGGUGACCGGCCACAUUGGGACUGAGAUACGGCCCAGACUCCUACGGGAGGCAGCAGUGGGGAAUAUUGCACAAUGGGCGGAAGCCUGAUGCAGCAACGCCGCGUGCGGGAUGACGGCCUUCGGGUUGUAAACCGCUUUCGCCUGUGACGAAGCGUGAGUGACGGUAAUGGGUAAAGAAGCACCGGCUAACUACGUG